UCGGGUGACGAGCGGCGGACGGGUGAGUAAUGUCUGGGAAACUGCCUGAUGGAGGGGGAUAACUACUGGAAACGGUAGCUAAUACCGCAUAACGUCUUCGGACCAAAGAGGGGGACCUUCGGGCCUCUUGCCAUCAGAUGUGCCCAGAUGGGAUUAGCUAGUAGGUGAGGUAAUGGCUCACCUAUGCGACGAUCCCUAGCUGGUCUGAGAGGAUGACCAGCCACACUGGAACUGAGACACGGUCCAGACUCCUACGGGAGGCAGCAGUGGGGAAUAUUGCACAAUGGGCGCAAGCCUGAUGCAGCCAUGCCGCGUGUGUGAAGAAGGCCUUCGGGUUGUAAAGCACUUUCAGCGGGGAGGAAGGCGGUGAGAUUAAUACUCUCACCGAUUGACGUUACCCGCAGAAAAAACACCGGCUAACUCCGUGCCAGCAGCCGCGGUAAUACGGAGGGUGCGAGAGUUAAUCGGAAUGACUGGGCGUAAAGCGCAGGCACGCGGUUUGUUAAGUCAGAUGUGAAAUCCCCGAGCUUAUCUUGGGAACUGCAUUUGAAACUGGCAAGCUAGAGUCUUGUAGAGGGGGGUAGAAUUCCACGUGUAGCGGUGAAAUGCGUAGAGAUCUGGAGGAAUACCGGUGGCGAAGGCGGCCCCCUGGACAA
RNAcentral lists this ribosomal RNA (656 nucleotides) under Pectobacterium carotovorum subsp. carotovorum. RNAcentral's name for it is "bacterial SSU rRNA". It matches the Rfam family "Bacterial small subunit ribosomal RNA", at positions 84 to 736 of the family's 1533-position model. Lineage: Bacteria; Pseudomonadati; Pseudomonadota; Gammaproteobacteria; Enterobacterales; Pectobacteriaceae. The record is from RNAcentral.